Molecule: long non-coding RNA, 455 nt
Filed under: Gallus gallus (chicken)
Lineage: Eukaryota; Metazoa; Chordata; Aves; Galliformes; Phasianidae
Description: lncRNA (ENSGALG00010018571.1)
Source: RNAcentral
GGGGGCACUGUGGGGGCAAUGGGGGGAGGAAUGGGGGGGGCACUGGGGAGGGCAGUGGGGCGGGGGGGGGGAGCUGCAGAAUGGGGUCAUUGUGGGAAUGGGGGGUGGGGGCAGCACGGUGUCCCCAUAGGGUAUGGGAUGUGGGGACACAUAGAAUGGUGUCCCUAUGGGAAUGGGGUCAUGGGGUACACCUCAAUGUCCCCAUAGGUUGUGGGAUAUGGGGACAGACAGAACAGUGCCCCUAUAGGGAAUGGGGUGUGGGGUACAGCCUAAUGAUCCCAUAGGUUAGGGGAUAUGGGGACAUAUAGAAUGGUGUCCCUAUGGGGAAUGGGGUCAUGGGGUACAGAACGGUGUCCCCAUAGGUUAUGGGAUAUGGGGACAGACAGAACGGUGUCCCUAUAAGGAAUGGGAGGGGGGGAGAAUUGCUGUGUCCCUAUAGGGAAUGGGGUGUGGGG